CUCUAAAGACACAAACAACAUGGCCGACUUGUGAUCAGUUGUUAUGUUAGUAAUAAUUUACGUUACAAAAUUGAAAAUAAUAAUAUAAUUGACUAAUAACGUUGUGUUUACCUUGCACAUAGGUGAUAAAUAAAGAGUAGUGUUGUAAUUCCUGAUGAAAUUGCGUGAUGCCUCGUCGAGGAAAUGAGUUAGUGCAGUUGCCUUUACCACCGAAAAAAAAAGUUAAGGCUGUGGAAGAGACCCCUAGUUUGGAUGUAAGUUUUUGCGAUGAUGAAGCCCUGCCUCCUGGGAUAGUUUUUACUGAUGUGUUGCAGAAGAAAUGGCGAAUUGGCAAACCCAUAGGUCGCGGCAGCUUCGGACGCAUAUACUUGGCGUCGGAUGAUGUAGACAACGAAGUGACGAAACUAAACGCCCGUUAUGUUGUUAAAAUAGAACCGCAUACUAACGGGCCACUGUUUGUGGAAGUACACUGUUUGGUCAGAACCGCACAGGUGCAGCAAGUUAAAGAAUGGCGUCUACUAAACAAGCAAAAACGUCUCGGCAUGCCGAUAUACAUCGCAAGUGGUUCAUUCACAGAUGAAAACACAGGAAUCAAAUACAGAUUCCUAGUCUUACCACGCUACGACAUCGACUUGCAGAAAAUCAUCGCCAGAACACGAGUACUAGAUCUAAAAAUGUUCUAGUAUUAGCCAUUCAGAUUCUCGACGUUCUAGAAUACCUACAUAGUCAGGGCUACACACAUUCGGACAUAAAGAGCUCAAAUCUGAUGCUAGGUUUUGACGGUUCUAGAAAUAGUAAAGUGGCGGUCUUGAGACACACACCAUCAUUCCAAAAAGAAACAAAAGAAGUGGCUGUCCUAUCAGGAAAACACCGAAGAGCCAAACCCAGCAAAACUAGAUCUUCAAAUUACUAUGAUGAUGAAGAUUUUGUUGUGAAGGAUUAUAAGAACUCUCCGGAUGAUGAAGAUAGUGACAAAAAAUUAGCAAACGUUAAGAACAAGCUGCGUAAAAUACUAUCAGAUAGAGACAGUAGAACGUUACAUAGACAUCACGCGUUCAAUUUGCGACAGAUAUCAAAUUACGUUAACUACGAGGAUUUUAACAGUUCCGUAUGCUCUGAUCAGUCGUAUCAAAAACUUUUGGACGAUUUUGGCAAUAAAACCUCAUUAGAACAACAAAAGAGUUUCAAGAGACAAAACGUAAUGGCAAAAUAAGAAACGAAUCGGAAAUCAAUUUGGACGAGUUGAAUAAAGAAGCUAUAAUGUCACAAUCGAAUGGACAAAUAUAUCUACUAGAUUAUGGAUUGGCGUCGAAGUUUCUAGAUGCUGACGGGACACAUAAAGACUUUGCUAUGGACCUUCGUAAAGCCCAUGAUGGGACUUUGGAGUACAGCUCCAGAGAUUCCCAUAUUGGGGCGCAUUCCAGGCGUUCAGAUUUUGAAGUGUUGGGCUAUAACUUACUAGACUGGUUGACAGGAACUUUGCCUUGGAAAACCUCGGAAGUUCUAGCCGAACCUGAUUUAGUACACGCUUUAAAAAAGAACUUUAUGAGUGAUAUAAAGUUACUCCUGAAAACUUGCUUCAAAACGGAAUUCUAUCCCCAGUUUAUGGAGAAAUACUUUCAAUAUAUCACAAGCCUUGAUUUCGCCGAAAAGCCCGAUUAUGAUUACUGCAGAAGUCUUUUCAAAAGUGAGUUAUUAAAAAAUGGACAUAUUGAAAAGGAUUUGUUAUUGAACUUUGCGGAACCGCUGAUGUCUCCAAUGAGCCGAAAACUGAGCUAUUCAAAAAGAUUUGGACGUAAGAAUACACCUCCAAACUUUUUAGCUAGGAAUGGUAUAAAGAAGACAUAUGAAAGAGAAAAUCUCUGUUCGUUAGAGAAUGAUUUAAAACUGGAAUUGCUUAAACAGACUCUGAAUUCGUCUAGUGAUGGCAUCCGAAAGCCUUGCGCGUCACGUAACUUCUUCAUAUCUGAUGCAGAUUUAGUUGCAAGGCUCAAAAAGUCGUUAAUGCCGCACGACAUUUUCGGCAAGAAACUAUCGCCUAAAAACUUAAGAUCGAAAAAGACCAUACAAAAACGUAGAGGAGUGCGACACAGGAAUAGUAUCGGGAAAUUUGGUAACUUAAUGGGCUCCGCAAAGCAGUUCUCGUGGGCAGAGAUACUAGCUGGUAAUCCAGAGGAUAUCAUUCGCGCGAAGGAAAAAGCUAAUCCGCCAGCCGAGGAAUUUGAUGAUGACAGCACAUGCAAGUACAGGAUCAGAAAACUGUCCGAUGCGUCAUCAGAUAGCAAUGAUUCUUCGCAAUCGCCGCUCAUGCAGAAAGAUUACUUACAAAACCUAAACCCUACAUACGCAAUGAAGGAAGUCUUGGCAACAUUCAAGAAAAAAUAUCGAGCACACAAAAGACACAAAAGAAAAUGAACAAAGUAAUCCAGAAUUAGAAGGGUACACACCAGCAAUGAUAAGGGUAUAUAGGUUGAAAGAAAAAAGGGAGGCAAAGGAAAAACUGGAGGCAGCCAAACAACUUGUUACUAAGAAGGAAAUACUAACCCAACCUAGGUGCACGAGGUCUAUGCGAAGUAAGGCUGCUAAUAUCCUACCAACAGCUAGGGUCACAAGACAAACACAUAGUCUAGAGGAAAAUACAGAAGUGAUAACUAAAAACAAAAGACGAAGGGUCAAAAAAUAAAGAAGUAAUUCCUAAGAGUAAUGAGAAAUCGAAAUCUAAAAAUAAGAAAAGUGUUACUAUUAAGAAGCAAGAGAAACAAGUUAAAAUCGUUGAAAAUGUCAUACCUCCAACUAAAACAAAAACAUCGAGAAGAACAUCGCUAACGGUCCCAACCAACAGGAGGAGGCUGAGAAGCAGUCGCCGCACCAAGCAGUAACUUGAACAUUAUACUGUAUUUGUUCAUAUUGAAACUGUGUGUUGAUUGUAAAAUCAUUUAGCUUAAGUUAGAGUACCGCCUCAAACAUUUUUUUUAUUGUACUUUGAUAUUAUUUCUUAAUGUAGUCGAGGUCAGACCGAUUUUAGCAACACCUUCAUAUCGUACGAAAAUUCUGUGUAUUAGAAAUUAUUUGGUCCUUCAAACCAGAUUUGCACUAAAUAUUUGUGUGAUACCUUUAUUGAUUGAUUAUUUCUGUAUAAAUGAUUGGCAUUAAUGGCCUUAAAAUAUUUGUUUUAGAUGUGAAUGUGUAGUAAACAAUAUGCUAAUAUAACUGGCCUAAGGUAACCCUCAUCACUGAUAACACGCAAUAAUGCAAAAUAAUUCUAUUCUAACUGGUAAAGUUACUUACCAAGCUUAGUCAAGGAUUUGAUUCGUUAUCGAAGAUGCGCGUAGACGAUGCAUGGACGUUGCGCUCAUUUCGCAAACUCAAAGCUUGACAAACAUCGAUUUGCUUGACACGUCUGCCUGAUCCUGACCUUAUUGACCGAGUAAUCAACUAACUCACUUUAUGCUUCCUGUGAGGUUUUAGUUUCUGAAAACAAGAACUGCGAAGAAUUAUAUCAAACCGCCUUGACACGUUGUAAAGGUAAUACCGUCAGUGCUGGGGACAUUUACCUUAAAUUUUUCGGUGUGAUAUUACCCACCAUUAUUUUCGAUUGUGCGAAGCAACUAAAUCUGUGAUUUGUGUUGAUGAGUGAAUUGAGCUUUUUUAUUAAAAGCGGUGGCAUUGAUUUUGCAUAAUUUAUAUUAUUUUUAUAUACAAUUAGUGUGUAAUAAAUUACUGUAGCUACGGCCUUACGUUUGAGAUAAGCCGUAUUUUCGCCCCUAAAAAUGGCGUACAAUGAAAACAAACUUCUUGGACUAGAGUGUUUUCUUUGCCUUUUUCUUAACCCGUAGUUAUAGUACUUAUUGUUUCCUAUUUCAUGGCGAUAAAAUCCGCCGUCUACUUUAUUGCGCUUACACUUUAAACAUACAAAUUUAAAUCGAUCAUCAAAAUUUUAGACCAUAGGCCUGACUUAAAUAUUAAUGUUAAAUGCCGAUUCAUUUCAGUCAGGGUUUCGUCACAAUAAAGCAAUUUACGCAAUAUGAUUUUCGUCGCGUAACUGUUAGUAAAUUGACGGAUUUUUGGUCAAUGUGCGAUAUUUGUGUGGAAUUGAGUCGUAAAUUACGUUGUGAACAGUCCUGAAUGCUGAAUUAGUGUUGACUGACGGCUAUUUAACUUUCCUUUGCAUUUAGUAAACAUUUUCGCUGAACUAAAAUCAGUAAAUCGUAUUUCCAUAUUUCGACUGUUUCUAUGUAAGACUAGGAUAAUAAAUGAAUUGUUUUUUA
This 4268-nucleotide small RNA is filed under the name Manduca sexta (tobacco hornworm). Its description in RNAcentral is "uncharacterized LOC115450866". The record is from RNAcentral. Lineage: Eukaryota; Metazoa; Arthropoda; Insecta; Lepidoptera; Sphingidae.